Molecule: non-coding RNA, 1066 nt
Organism: Chlorocebus sabaeus (green monkey)
Lineage: Eukaryota; Metazoa; Chordata; Mammalia; Primates; Cercopithecidae
Source: RefSeq, a predicted model, not a curated record
CAAUAUAAAGGAAUUUGACCUAGGUACACUGGCUGUCCUCCGACUCUGUCACCACCUGAACUACACGGCCAAUUGUUCUCUGUCUAUAGUUCCUUCCGUGGGCCAUCCAACAGCAGAAGAGGGCAAUUCUAAUUCUCCCAGGGUUCAUAACCUCUAGGGGGUUAACUGAACUCUAUAAUCUCCUGCAAAACCUUUUGUAAGGUUCUGUAAUGUGCAUUUUAGUAGAGUAAGUGGUGACGAUUUGAUGACUUUCCUUUUAUUUUUCUUUUUGAAAUGUUUUUAACAGGGUUCCUAGCGGAGCGGGCUUACUUUGUGUCUGGCUCAUUUUUUUCCUCGAGACGGAACAACAUUCACCCUACGAGAGGGAAAGGGUAGAAGGUCACUCAGUCACGUAAUUGACACUACAUCGAAAUCAAAGCUAAAACCAAAGUGUUGUUAUAGGCACACCCGUUCGUCCAGCAAUGUAAGCCAAACCAAAAUCAGGAGCAAGACCAAAGUGGCAAUAAAGGCAGGCCUGUUUAUCCAGCAAUUCAAGUCAAGUCAAAAUCGAAAGCGAAACCGAAGUAUCAACCAAUGAAUUGAAGUCAAGCCAGAAACGAAAACCAAAGUGCCGGUACAGGUACGCCGUGGGUGAUCAGGCCACGCUUCCACUCAAAUGGAGUGGGGGAAGUUCCAAAGAGCAGUCUCAGCAAGUUUCACACGUCCGGACUUAAAGUGCCAGUUCCUUCCCAGUGUCCAGCCACUGUGCCGAUCCUCCACGGGGGCCUGCUGUGCCCUGCUGUUUCGAGGCGAGGCAUUGCACCGGGGCAGAUGCCCGCCCGGCAGCACUCUUGAGGAUCCGCAUCGCUCAAGCUGGGCAGAGUCCCCCGCAGGGAUGCUCUACAGGGCAGGCAUAAGCUGCCUAAGGGGCUGCCUCGACCCUCCGUGCAUCACCACCUGGCUUCCCGGUGAGGGAACCCAGAAAUGUAGCAGGACAAGCCGCAGACAAAACUCCUGAGGCACCGGAUGAAAGAAGGAAGAGGUUUUUCAUUCGGCCGGGAACGUCGGCAGACUCGCAUCUUAGGAG